AUUGAACGCUGGCGGCAUGCCUUACACAUGCAAGUCGAACGGCAGCACGGGAGCAAUCCUGGUGGCGAGUGGCGAACGGGUGAGUAAAGUAUCGGAACGUGCCCAGUCGUGGGGGAUAACGUAGCGAAAGUUACGCUAAUACCGCAUACGAUCUAUGGAUGAAAGCGGGGGAUCGCGAGACCUCGCGCUAUUGGAGCGGCCGAUAUCAGAUUAGGUAGUUGGUGGGGUAAAGGCUCACCAAGCCGACGAUCUGUAGCUGGUCUGAGAGGACGACCAGCCACACUGGGACUGAGACACGGCCCAGACUCCUACGGGAGGCAGCAGUGGGGAAUUUUGGACAAUGGGCGAAAGCCUGAUCCAGCCAUGCCGCGUGCAGGAUGAAGGCCUUCGGGUUGUAAACUGCUUUUGUACGGAACGAAAAGGUUUGGCCUAAUAAGCUGAGCUCAUGACGGUACCGUAAGAAUAAGCACCGGCUAACUACGUGCCAGCAGCCGCGGUAA
This 500-nucleotide ribosomal RNA is filed under the name uncultured bacterium. RNAcentral describes it as "partial 16S ribosomal RNA". It matches the Rfam family "Bacterial small subunit ribosomal RNA", at positions 30 to 523 of the family's 1533-position model. The record is from RNAcentral.